AACACUGAAGCUAAAUAUGCCUGUAAGGAUGACCAUUUUUAACACUUGGAUGUUUGCUUGCAUUUCUUAUAUUAUGUGACAUCUUAGAUUUGUAGUAGCCGUUAUGCUUCACUGUGGAUUUGGCUACUCUAUUUCUUUCUGUAGUUGUAGCCUAAAACGAGUGCAGUGGGGGAAAUGGACCUAUAUAGCCAAUUCCAAUUAGUUUGAUAUUAAGGAUUAGUUAUGUUUCGUUGUAUUGCCAGUUGCAUGUGUAUGCAUGCGUGUAUACGCAUUCACAGGCUUAUUAUUCUAGUAUCAUUAUGUAUUCUCCUUGGAUAGGUUUGUCUCACAUCCCAUAUUUCCUCUUGUUUCUUUUUUAUAAAUGGCUCAUUAGAUGUUCUACUUAUGAUGUGUUGUCUUUCAUUGUUUUGCAUAAAAAAGUUUUGAAUUUCAUUACAGAAUGUUUGAAUGAGGCAUGGAAUAUGAGAUAUUUUGAGCUCCUAACUCUUGUACUUUAUGUCCUCCAUUUUCUAUUUUGGUAGUCAGCGGCAUGUGAUGAUUUGUUACCUUGAAUUUCAGGAAAGAAGAAACCCACAAUUCCCA
Molecule: unclassified non-coding RNA, 582 nt
Filed under: Hevea brasiliensis (rubber tree)
Lineage: Eukaryota; Viridiplantae; Streptophyta; Magnoliopsida; Malpighiales; Euphorbiaceae
Source: RNAcentral